RNAcentral lists this ribosomal RNA (1554 nucleotides) under Enterococcus faecalis. Its description in RNAcentral is "bacterial SSU rRNA". It matches the Rfam family "Bacterial small subunit ribosomal RNA". Lineage: Bacteria; Bacillati; Bacillota; Bacilli; Lactobacillales; Enterococcaceae. The record is from RNAcentral.
UUAGCAAAGGAACAGCCUCGUAAUGCAGUCGGACGCUUCUAUUCCUCCCGAAGGUGCUUCCACUCAAAUUAAGAAAGAGGAGUGGCGGGACGGGUGAGUAUAACACGGGGGGUAACCUACCCACUCAGAGGGGGAUAACCACUUGGAAAACAGGGGCUUAAUACCCCAUAACACGUUUAUUGCCGCCAUGGCAUAAGAGUGAAAAGGCGCCUUUUCGGGUGUUCCGCUGAUGGAAGGACCCCCCGGUGCAUUUAGCUAGUUGGUGAGGUAACGGCUCACCAAGGCCCACGAUGCAUAGCCGACCUGAGAAGGUGAUCGGCCCACACUGGGACUGAGACACGGCCCCAGACUCCUACGGGAGGCAGCAGUAGGGAAUCUUCGGCAAUGGACGAAAGUCUGACCGAGCAACGCCGCGUGAGUGAAGAAGGUUUUCGGAUCGUAAAACUCUGUUGUUAGAGAAGAACAAGGACGUUAGUAACUGAACGUCCCCUGACGGUAUCUAACCAGAAAGCCACGGCUAACUACGUGCCAGCAGCCGCGGUAAUACGUAGGUGGCAAGCGUUGUCCGGAUUUAUUGGGCGUAAAGCGAGCGCAGGCGGUUUCUUAAGUCUGAUGUGAAAGCCCCCGGCUCAACCGGGGAGGGUCAUUGGAAACUGGGAGACUUGAGUGCAGAAGAGGAGAGUGGAAUUCCAUGUGUAGCGGUGAAAUGCGUAGAUAUAUGGAGGAACACCAGUGGCGAAGGCGGCUCUCUGGUCUGUAACUGACGCUGAGGCUCGAAAGCGUGGGGAGCAAACAGGAUUAGAUACCCUGGUAGUCCACGCCGUAAACGAUGAGUGCUAACUGUUGGAGGGUUUCCGCCCUUCAGUGCUGCAGCAAACGCAUUAAGCACUCCGCCUGGGGAGUACGACCGCAAGGUUGAAACUCAAAGGAAUUGACGGGGGCCCGCACAAACAGUGGAGCAUGUGGUUGUAAUUCGAAACAACGUCGAAGAACCUUACCAGGACUUGACAUCCGUUUGACCACUCCAAGAAAUAAAAGCUUUCUCCUUCGGGGUACAAGAGUGAACAGGUGGUGGCAUGGGUUGUCUGUCAGUCCUCGUGUCGUCGAGAAGGGAGGGAUUAAGUUCUCCGCAACCAGACGCAAAGCUCUUAUCUUGUCAAUUGCGCAUCAUUCUUAGUUCGACUACAUCCUAGCUGAGACUUGCCCGGUGGACAGAACCGGUCAGGAAGUGUACUUGAGGAGUUGGGACGUGCAAAUCAACACGCCCCUUAUUUGACCUGGGUCUACACACGUGCUACAAUGGCUGAAGUACAACGAGUCGCUAGACCGCGAGGUCAUGCAAAUCUCUUAAAGCUUCUCUCAGUUCGGAUUGCAGGCUGCAACUCGCCUGCAUGAAGCCGGAAUCGCUAGUAAUCGCGGAUCAGCACGCCGCGGUGAAUACGUUCCCGGGCCUUGUACACACCGCCCGUCACACCACGAGAGUUUGUAAGCACUCUUGAUACGUCGGCUGCAAGGUAACUCUGUUUGGAACCCAGCCCCCUAUUGAGUUUUCCC